MicroRNA precursor from Callithrix jacchus (white-tufted-ear marmoset), 107 nucleotides. The record is from Ensembl. Lineage: Eukaryota; Metazoa; Chordata; Mammalia; Primates; Cebidae.
GCGGGCGCGGCGGGGACCGCGGGCGGGCGGCGGCCUAGGACGCGGAGGGCUGACCGGGAAUGGCGCGCCCUGCGCCGCCGGCGUAAUUGCGGCGCUUGCGUGCCCGC